ACUUUCAACAACGGAUCUCUUGGUUCUGGCAUCGAUGAAGAACGCAGCGAAAUGCGAUAAGUAAUGUGAAUUGCAGAAUUCAGUGAAUCAUCGAAUCUUUGAACGCACAUUGCGCCCCUUGGUAUUCCGGGGGGCAUGCCUGUUCGAGCGUCAUUGC
Molecule: ribosomal RNA, 157 nt
Filed under: Myriospora smaragdula
Lineage: Eukaryota; Fungi; Ascomycota; Lecanoromycetes; Acarosporales; Acarosporaceae
Description: 5.8S ribosomal RNA
Rfam family: 5.8S ribosomal RNA
About the family: 5.8S ribosomal RNA (5.8S rRNA) is a component of the large subunit of the eukaryotic ribosome.
Source: RNAcentral